AUUGAACGCUGGCGGUAUGCUUAACACAUGCAAGUCGAACGGUAGCAGGCCUUCGGGCGCUGACGAGUGGCGGACGGGUGAGUAACGCGUAGGAAUCUGCCUGGUAGUGGGGGACAACGUUUCGAAAGGAACGCUAAUACCGCAUACGUCCUACGGGAGAAAGUGGGGGAUCUUCGGACCUCACGCUAUCAGAUGAGCCUAGGUCGGAUUAGCUAGUUGGUGAGGUAAAGGCUCACCAAGGCGACGAUCCGUAACUGGUCUGAGAGGAUGAUCAGUCACACUGGAACUGAGACACGGUCCAGACUCCUACGGGAGGCAG
RNAcentral lists this ribosomal RNA (319 nucleotides) under uncultured Pseudomonadota bacterium. RNAcentral describes it as "bacterial SSU rRNA". It matches the Rfam family "Bacterial small subunit ribosomal RNA", at positions 30 to 351 of the family's 1533-position model. The record is from RNAcentral. Lineage: Bacteria; Pseudomonadati; Pseudomonadota.